GGAUGAACGCUGGCGGCGUGCCUACUACAUGCAAGUCGAGCGAACAGACGAGGAGCUUGCUCCUCUGACGUUCGCGGCGGACGGGUGAGUAACACGUGGAUAACCUACCUAUAAGACUGGGAUAACUUCGGGAAACCGGAGCUAAUACCGGAUAAUAUAUUGAACCGCAUGGUUCAAUAGUGAAAGACGGUUUUGCUGUCACUUAUAGAUGGAUCCGCGCCGCAUUAGCUAGUUGGUAAGGUAACGGCUUACCAAGGCAACGAUGCGUAGCCGACCUGAGAGGGUGAUCGGCCACACUGGAACUGAGACACGGUCCAGACUCCUACGGGAGGCAGCAGUAGGGAAUCUUCCGCAAUGGGCGAAAGCUUGACGGAGCAACGCCGCGUGAGUGAUGAAGGUCUUCGGAUCGUAAAACUCUGUUAUUAGGGAAGAACAAAUGUGUAAGUAACUAUGCACGUCUUGACGGUACCUAAUCAGAAAGCCACGGCUAACUACGUG
This 498-nucleotide ribosomal RNA is filed under the name uncultured bacterium. RNAcentral's name for it is "partial 16S ribosomal RNA". It matches the Rfam family "Bacterial small subunit ribosomal RNA", at positions 27 to 507 of the family's 1533-position model. The record is from RNAcentral.